GCUGAUCAUCUUCGUUGGAUUUUUGGCCGCUUAGCAGGUAGGUUUAUUAGCAUCUCCAGGGACAGUUGAAAGCCUCGUUGAUCAUUUUCGUUGGAUUUUUGGCCGCUUUGCAGGUAGGUUUAUUAGCGUCUCCAGGGACAUUUGAAAGCAUUGCUGAUCAUCUUCGUUGGAUUUUGGCCGCUUAGCAGGUGAGUGUAUGUUGUGAACUUUUGCUGGUUUCUAUUUAGCUACUAAUUAGAUGAUUCUUUAUACUUUUCUCAUUUCCGUAGGGUUUAUUAGCAUCUCC
This 286-nucleotide small RNA is filed under the name Drosophila mojavensis. Its description in RNAcentral is "GI25946". The record is from RNAcentral. Lineage: Eukaryota; Metazoa; Arthropoda; Insecta; Diptera; Drosophilidae.